This 268-nucleotide ribosomal RNA is filed under the name uncultured bacterium. RNAcentral describes it as "partial 16S ribosomal RNA". It matches the Rfam family "Bacterial small subunit ribosomal RNA", at positions 57 to 305 of the family's 1533-position model. The record is from RNAcentral.
GCAAGUCGCACGAGAACGCUUUAGCUUGCUAGAGCUAGUAAAGUGGCGCACGGGUGAGUAACGCGUGGGUAAUCUACCCCUGAAUUUGGGAUAACGUUGCGAAAGCGAAGCUAAUAUCGUAUGACAUCUACAUAACUUUGGUUAUAUAUAUCAAAGAUGGCCUCUACAUGUAAGCUAUUGUUUGGGGAUGAGCCCGCGUACCAUUAGCUAGUUGGUAGGGUAACGGCCUACCAAGGCAACGAUGGUUAGCUGGUCUGAGAGGAUGAUC